RNAcentral lists this ribosomal RNA (380 nucleotides) under uncultured prokaryote. RNAcentral describes it as "bacterial SSU rRNA". It matches the Rfam family "Archaeal small subunit ribosomal RNA", at positions 341 to 725 of the family's 1478-position model. The record is from RNAcentral.
GCGAAAACUUUACAAUGCGAGCAAUCGUGAUAAGGGAACUCCGAGUGCCUGUAAAAUCAGGCUGUCCGCCAGUGUAAAUAACUGGUGAAGAAAGGGCCGGGCAAGACCGGUGCCAGCCGCCGCGGUAAUACCGGCGGCUCGAGUGGUGGCCACUAUUACUGGGCUUAAAGCGUUCGUAGCUGGUUUGUUAAGUCUCUGGGGAAAUCUUCCGGCUCAACCGGAAGGCGUCUCAGGGAUACUGGCAGACUAGGGACCGGAAGAGGUGAGAGGUACUUCAGGGGUAGGAGUGAAAUCCUGUAAUCCUUGAGGGACCACCUGUGGCGAAGGCGUCUCACCAGGACGGCUCCGACAGUGAGGAACGAAAGCUGGGGGAGCAAACC